UUCCAUCUUAACAAACCACGUUCUUCGUUCAUCCAGAAGAAACAACUCCUUGUCUGUUCAAGUUUGAUCAUGAGAUUACAGCAAUUCGGUCACAUCUCCAGGCUCCCCUUCUAAUUCUGGUUUUCUUAACUAUUUUCACCACGCCUGAAAUUUCUUCAUCCACUGAAGCCUUGAACCCCUCAAAGUCAUCCAUGAGGGCUGGAAUCAACUUCUUCCAAACUCCCGUUCAUGUUGAUAUUUUGACUUCCUCCCAUGAAUCAUGAAUUUUCUUAAAGGCAUCAAGAAUGGGGAAUCCUUUCCAGAAGAUUUUCAAUUUGCUGUGCCCAGAUCCAACAGAAGAAUCACUAUCUAUGACAGCUAUAGCCUUACAAGAUGUAUUUCUUAAAUAAUAAUGCUUUAAAGUCAAAGUAACUCCUUGAACCAUGGACUGCAGAAUGAAUGUUGUGUUAGCAGGCAUGAAAACAAUAUUAAUCUCUUUGAACAUCUCCAUCGAACCUCUUGGGUGACCAGGUGCAUUGCCAAUAAGCAGUAAUAUUUUGAGAGGAAUCUUCAUUUCUGGGCAUCGAGUCCCAAUAGUGGGCUUAAAAUACUCAGCAAACCAUGCUUUGUCUCCUGGCCUGUUAAAUGUGUCCAUGACUACACAGAAAUUCCUGCCUAUUGCCUGCUUUCCUGAUGGAGAAGUUCAUGAUCUGCAAUAAUCAUCAGUGAACUGCAGCCUUUAUGCCAAUUCUGGCCCACUGCUUGUUUUUUUCAAUAAAGUUUUGUUGGAACACAGCCAUGACCAUCAUUUAUAUAUUAAAAUUUUGCUGACCACUGUUCCAUGUGAAUGAAGGUUUCUGAAGCAU
This 845-nucleotide long non-coding RNA is filed under the name Homo sapiens (human). RNAcentral describes it as "HSALNT0385072". The record is from RNAcentral. Lineage: Eukaryota; Metazoa; Chordata; Mammalia; Primates; Hominidae.